UCCAUCAAUUCGACAUGUUUAUAUAACGAUACAUGUGUGUAAACAGAACUACCUUGACUACAGGUGUAGAAGGAUUUAACCCACAGGAGAUAAGCUUGAGGAUUAUAUUCAGGACCCCAUUUGGAUUGGGUCAUAUCUGGAUGGAUUUGGGCAAAUUUUGGCAUGUCUCGGAAACGUUAUUAGUUACUUGGAGAACUACAUGAACUUGACAAUAUUGCAUAAACAACUAAUUUAAAGAAGUAUUUGCACCUGAAAACAUUAUGUUCACCACAGAAUAAAGAGCGAAAAACUAUUCAUUGAGUGUAUUUGUGUAUGUGUUAUUACGGUACAGCAGGAUGGUAAAUCCGACAUUUUAAAUAUGCUACUGAAUAGUACAACUAAUUAAAAAAAAUAAUUUUAAAAAAUACCGGAAAAUUAAGAUUUGAACUCUUGUAUUAUUCAAGUAUGUGAGCUCACAUAUGCUGUCUCCUUUCAGGUACAUGGACGUACUCUAAACUUAGAUAGUGCAAAAACGCGACGUAUACGCAAAUCUUGAUGAUUCGGCCAAAGCUGCAAAAGGCAUAAACAAACGUUCUAUGACUUUAACGGCAUAUUAUAUAAAAACGAUCCAUCAAUUGUGAACAGAAUGUCAUUUUUACAAGCCAGAUCGACACAUUUUAAAACAAAACGUAUUGCUAAAAAAAAUUGUAUAGUAAGAAAGUCAAACAUUGUCAACUUUAAGCAAAUCCAACCCAACAAAAUUUUGGAAGUACAUAAAUAAAUAUAAACUUAAUGAAACGACUAGUACUAAUGGCGUUAACAUUGAUGAUUUAAUAGAUGUUUUAAGAAUUUAUCUAAAACACAUAACACAGUUCGCUCAAUGUUGAUGAAUACGCAUUAAGCAGUUAGACACUUUAUAUUGAUGAAUAACAUGGCCAAUUUACAUUUCUAGACAUACAUAUAGAGAAUAUAUGGUUGGUGACUUUUGAUAUCAUGUGAUAUAAGACGAGUCUGAUAUGGCGUAGGAAAAGGCGAGGCUUGCCGAGCAAUUUCACACGCCAUAUCGGACGAUAAGUUUAUAUGUACUUCUAAGUACACGCGAACCGCUAUUUUCAAAGUGAAUGUGUAGAGUGAAAAUUCCAUACAAUAAAGACAAUAACCAAAUGGAACGGGAGUUUAACAUAGUGCGCAAAUUGGAAGUGAUAAGAGUGAUUUAUUUUUCAACUUGUCCAUCUCCGUAGUAUUCGUUUAGUUGUGAGAUGUUAACGGUUUCCCCGAAAAACAGGCCUUCGCUGCGAAGUUAAAGUGGGUGGGGAACGCGACUGCUUGUGCAUUUCGAGUUGCUGGAACUUUCUAAGGAAGCUGUUUUUGUGCAAUAUUCAGCGAUUUUGCAAGCUGUUUGUUUGGAGUCGGAGAUAUAUAUUGCUGAGAUUAAUGAUGUUGUGUACGUUCUUGUGACCAAUGAUCUGCAUGAUAUCAGUGGGAGAGCAUCCUGAAUCCCACAUAGUCUGCACCGUAUGUUUCCUGGUCGAGUGAAAGUUGCAACCACACAUUUCGAUGGGUCAUGAUCAUUCUCCCAAGUUCUUGUCGAUACAGUUCUAGCCUUAUCAGUUUAACAGGUUAACUAGACUACCAGACUACCAGUGUACACAAACAUUUUCUGUUUUGUUAAAGAUGUGGAGACAGAACCAGUUUUAUGUACAAUUUUGAUUUCAGACACUUAAAAAUUGAAUAGUUCAUGUUUAUUAGUUAUCAUAUGGCAGGUAUUGACUAAGAAAGAAUCUUUAUUAUUUUGAAUUUUUCUUAAAAAUUGAAUUGUUCAUGUAUUAUAACAUAUAAGU
Long non-coding RNA from Dreissena polymorpha, 1820 nucleotides. RefSeq lists it as uncharacterized. The transcript is spliced from 3 exons. NCBI's taxonomy places the organism in Eukaryota, Metazoa, Mollusca, Bivalvia, Myida, Dreissenidae. The record is from RefSeq and is a predicted model, not a curated record.